This 490-nucleotide ribosomal RNA is filed under the name uncultured bacterium. RNAcentral's name for it is "partial 16S ribosomal RNA". It matches the Rfam family "Bacterial small subunit ribosomal RNA", at positions 30 to 507 of the family's 1533-position model. The record is from RNAcentral.
AUUGAACGCUGGCGGCAGGCAUAACACAUGCAAGUCGAACGGUAACAGGGAUCAGCUUGCUGAUUCGCUGACGAGUGGCGGACGGGUGAGUAAUGUCUGGGAAACUGCCUGAUGGAGGGGGAUAACUACUGGAAACGGUAGCUAAUACCGCAUAACGUCGCAAGACCAAAGAGGGGGACCUUCGGGCCUCUUGCCAUCGGAUGUGCCCAGAUGGGAUUAGCUAGUAAGUGGGGUAACGGCUCACCUAGGCGACGAUCCCUAGCUGGUCUGAGAGGAUGACCAGCCACACUGGAACUGAGACACGGUCCAGACUCCUACGGGAGGCAGCAGUGGGGAAUAUUGCACAAUGGGCGCAAGCCUGAUGCAGCCAUGCCGCGUGUAUGAAGAAGGCCUUCGGGUUGUAAAGUACUUUCAGCGGGGAGGAAGGGAGUAAAGUUAAUACCUUUGCUCAUUGACGUUACCCGCAGAAGAAGCACCGGCUAACUCCGUG